RNAcentral lists this long non-coding RNA (593 nucleotides) under Equus caballus (horse). RNAcentral describes it as "lncRNA (ENSECAG00000045981.1)". The record is from RNAcentral. Lineage: Eukaryota; Metazoa; Chordata; Mammalia; Perissodactyla; Equidae.
AUAGAGAAGAAGUCGGUGCCAGUUUAUUAAGCCUAAACAAAUGUGUUUGUAAAUGUUACUUUGCAGUGGUGCAGCCAUGGUUGAGGAGAUUGACCAGGUGGAAGCUAAACAAUGGAUGAAAGUCAAGGUUGAACCCAGGCAUCCUGGGAAAGGAGAAAGAGCGAGUAAUGAGAAAUGGAGCGGCAGCUCAGGAGUGGAGCCACCGCUGCUGCAGGACGGGAGGAGUAAGCUUGUGUUUCAGGACAAAGCUGCUGCUGAGAGGGGCUUAAGUAGCUUCUGAGAAGCGGGGAGACUGGUAAUGACUGGAACUGUGGCCCUCUUGUGUCUGUGAGGGGACAAGCUUGAGGACCAAGGCCAACGUACCUAGAUAGCAGAGGGGAAAGAUGGACAGAACCUGCAUCCAUGAGGACAUUCUGAGGCUGUUAUAUUAACCAAUCGCAGAAUCACCGUAUUUCUAGGUUUCUUGUGUUGUUGAUGCUCUUGAGAACAUCAGCCAGGACAUUCACGUGCACCAUUAUGGCGGAACAGAAAGAUGAGGAAAGAGUUGGACAAUUUUGAUUAUCUGUCUGCACCAAAGAUUUUCCAGCAAGAGG